Carassius auratus (goldfish) is the source of this 431-nucleotide long non-coding RNA. RefSeq lists it as uncharacterized. The transcript has 3 exons. The record is from RefSeq and is a predicted model, not a curated record. Lineage: Eukaryota; Metazoa; Chordata; Actinopteri; Cypriniformes; Cyprinidae.
UAAGUCUUCUCCACCCAUUUGUGGAGAAAAUGCAGCAUGCUUCAACACUAAUGGCAGCUACUACUGUCAAUGUCAUGAAGGAUUCACACCUCCUUCACCUCAUAAUUUCACACAAGCAGAUUCGAUUAAAUGUGAAGACAUCGAUGAAUGUUUGGUCGGCAGUGAUGAUUGUGGUCCUAAUACAAUAUGUAAUAAUACUGUAGGAGGUUAUUACUGCACAUGUGCAACUGGCUACAUUUCCAGCAAUGGAAAAGAUAUAUUCAAUUCAGGACAAGGAGUUCAGUGUAUAGACAGAGAUGAAUGCAGUGAUCCCAGUUUUUGUGGAAAACAUGCAUCAUGUCAUAACACUGCUGGAGGUUUCUACUGCAUCUGUGAAGCUGGAUUCAGACUAAAGUCAGGAGGAACUAUCUUCAAUGAUACAAGUGAACUCU